Molecule: ribosomal RNA, 839 nt
Filed under: uncultured bacterium
Lineage: Bacteria
Description: bacterial SSU rRNA
Rfam family: Bacterial small subunit ribosomal RNA
Source: RNAcentral
AUGGCAGAGGAGAGUGGAAAUUCCGAGUGUAGCGGUAAAAUGCAUAGAUAUUCGGAAGAACACCAGUGGCGAAGGCGGCUCUCUGGGCCAUUUCUGACGCUCAGACGCGAAAGCUAGGGUAGCAAACGGGAUUAGAGACCCCGGUAGUCCUAGCCGUAAACGAUGUGAACUUGGCGUUGGUGGGUUCAAAUCCAUCAGUGCCGUAGCAAACGCGAUAAGUUCACCACCUGGGGACUACGGCCGCAAGGUUAAAACUCGAAGGAAUUGACGGGGGCCCGCACAAGCAGCGGAGCGUGUGGUUUAAUUCGAUGUUACACGAAGAACCUUACCAGGGUUUGACAUGCAAGUGGUAGAGAAGCGAAAGCGGAUCGACCCUUCGGGGAGCUUGCACAGGUGUUGCAUGGCUGUCGUCAGCUCGUGUCGUGAGAUGUUCGGUUAAGUCCGCUAACGAGCGCAACCCACGUCGCGUGUUACAAGUGUCACGCGAUACUGCCGGUCUUAAGCCGGAGGAAGGUGUGGAUGACGUCAAGUCAGCAUGACCUUUAUGUCCUGGGCUACACACACGCUACAAUGGCCAGUACAACGGGUAGCGAAGCCGCAAGGCGGAGCCAAUCCACAAAGCUGGUCUCAGUUCAGAUUACAGGCUGCAACCCGCCUGUAUGAAGCUGGAGUUGCUAGUAACCGCAGGUCAGCUAUACUGCGGUGAAUACGUUCCCGGGCCUUGUACACACCGCCCGUCACGUCAUGGGAGCUGGUAACACCUGAAGCUGGUAUCCUAACCGCAAGGAGGGAGCCAUCGAGGGUGGGACUGGUGACUGGGACGAAGUCGUAACAAGGUA